RNAcentral lists this long non-coding RNA (333 nucleotides) under Heterocephalus glaber (naked mole-rat). RNAcentral describes it as "lncRNA (ENSHGLG00000030085.2)". Lineage: Eukaryota; Metazoa; Chordata; Mammalia; Rodentia; Bathyergidae. The record is from RNAcentral.
CUAUCCCCAGAAUAGCCCCGAAUAUCCUGUGAUCUGGCUUCAGGAUGGGGAGUCCUUGAGCGUAGACACCCAGCAGUCUAAAGGGAAGGCCUGGGGCUUCCGGAGUUGGAGGCUGUUGUUCUGGGUGCGGCUGUUGUUGUUGCUGCUCUUGCUGGGGUUGUUCUUUGAAAGACCACAUCUGCUGCAGAGGGUUCAGGUGAGACAUCCCAGCAGGGGUUGGAGGUGGCAGGGCCCAUGUGGGAUGUGACGUCCCCUCAUGACACCUGCUGCACACAGGGCAAUGGAGGGGAUGAUAUUUCCAGAAGAGUGGGUAGAAGUCAUGGUAUUUGUGAG